Long non-coding RNA from Uranotaenia lowii, 704 nucleotides. RefSeq lists it as uncharacterized. The record is from RefSeq and is a predicted model, not a curated record. The transcript has 5 exons. NCBI's taxonomy places the organism in Eukaryota, Metazoa, Arthropoda, Insecta, Diptera, Culicidae.
UGCGUGUACCUGUCAUCAUCGUCCAGCAGCUGAAAAUAAUAACAAGACGAAAUUAACAAUUAGUCAUCAUCCUGGUCGCCAUCGCAUUUUUCCGUCGAUUUUGCGCGAGUGUGCUGCUAUUUCCCGUGAGUUCGGCUGUUCCCCGGAAGAUAUAAACGGUGCAGUUUUCCAGAGCGAGGCCAAACCUUGUGGCACAGGAAGCCGUUCCCUUGGAAGCACUGCAAAGAUUCUUCGGGAGUUAAAGUUGGAUGAACCAGCAGAAGAACCAGCGAUCGAAGGAAUCCACAGGGCCAAAAGGAUCGUGCGAAAGGGUCGGAUUGUGAGAGCCGACAUAAUUAGAUGACUGUUAUUGGGUGAAGCCACACCUUUCGGACGAGCAAAUAGAAACUGGCAUACGAGCGUGAGCAUACCAGCCUGAAGAGCAAAGCCUCAACCACUCCCAGGCCCCAAAUAGGGGUCUUUUUCCGGAGCUGAAAAUUGUGUCGUCCGAGGACUAGUGCCGUCUUCUCCCGGAAGCUGAAGCUGCUGCCGGUGGUGCUCAACUCCUGGUCAUCUGAUGACAUUGAGGUCGCUGCAAGUAAGAAAAGGUGAAGAAGAAUAAGAAACAUGUAAGUACUAGCGCUAGUCAGAAGAAAAAAAGAAGAAGCUGUAGCAAAGUGAGAAGAAGUAAUAAGAAGCAGCCAAGCAAGAAGAAGAAGCAGCAG